RNAcentral lists this long non-coding RNA (3584 nucleotides) under Sus scrofa (pig). RNAcentral describes it as "lncRNA (ENSSSCG00055001009.1)". The record is from RNAcentral. Lineage: Eukaryota; Metazoa; Chordata; Mammalia; Artiodactyla; Suidae.
UGCUUUUUAGGGCUGCACCCACAGCAUAUGGAGGUUCCCAGGCUAGGGGUCAAAGUGGAGCUACAGCUGCUGGCCCAUAGCCACAGCAAUUCCAGAUUCAAGCUGUGUCUUCGACCUAUACCACAGCUCAUGGCAACAUCAGAUCAUUAACCUGCUGAUCGAGGCCAAGGAUAGAAACCUCAUGGUUCCUAGUCGGAUUUGUUUCUGCUGCACCAUGAAAGGAACUCCUAUCUUUUGCUUUAUUUUUACAGCCACAUCUGUGACAUAUGGAAGUUCCUGGGCUAGGGGUCGAAUCGGAGCUGCAGCUGCGACCUGUGCCACAGCUUAUGGCAAUGCCUGAUCCUUAACCCACUGAGAGAGGCCAGGAAUCGAACCCACAUUCUCACAGAGACGUCAGGUCCUUAACCUGUUAAGCCACAGUGGGAACUCCAAAGCCAGGUAAGGUUUUAAUUGUUUAAAUAUUUGGUGAUGAAACUAACUGCAUCCAAGUUUUAAAGUUGUAAAUGCAGAAUGGUACAAGGCCUAAGGAAGCUGUAGGCCAGUGGUGUCAGACUCUUCAAAAAAUGAGCAAAAAUCUUCGUGCAGUAUUUCAGCAUUCAACAACUAUAUUGAAUGUCUACUGUGUGCCAGGCACUGUGCUAGGGGACACAGCAGCAGCAACACAGACCUGAUUCCUGCCCUCGUGAGUUUAGAGGGGGAGGCAGACAUUGAACAAAUAAUUGAAUAAGUAGAUCAUUAAUGAGUUGCAAUUGAAGUAACGCUGUGAAAAAGAUGUAUGCAGCCAAGUGGCCAACAUAGACUUGAGAGGCAUCCCCAAAGAAGCUGUGAUCUGAAGGAUGCACAGGAAAUAAGCAAAGAGGUAGAAGAGAGUCCAGACAGGACAUAUUACAAGAAAAAUCCCAGAGGCAAGGAAGCAACUUGUGCUGGAGGAAAUUGCAGAAGAUGGUUGUGGGGAAGCCAGGCCAGCAGGGCAGCACAGAUGAAGACGAAGGGAGGCAGGCACCAGACCGCCAGGACAUCACGGCCAGCUCAAGGAUGAAAACAGGAAACUGGGGAGCUGCUCUGGCUAAAAAGGCGCGAACCCCUGACUAGCCCCUACACACACACACACACACACACACACACACACACACACACACACACAGUCUCAUCCCCUGGCCUUGCAGCCUCCGAGGCCCUCGGAGGACCCCCACAGCUUAUCAGAACAUAGCUUGGAAAGCCCGAAUCCAGCCCUACUUGGCAUUUUCUGAUGAGAAGAGUAGGACCUGACAGUCAUCCACCCCCAGUGCCCUCUCUGUUAACUCUGGAUCUACUCCAGCUUCCCUGGAGAGAAGGCCGGCAGGGUGUCAUCUUGGGACAGGCUCUGAGAACACCACACAUCAAAUGUUUCAAGAGGGAGCCUCGAGAGCCAAUCCAGCGUCUGGAAUGGAGGAUGGGCCCCAAGGAUGGGAUUUUGUCCCUUGCCUGCCCCUGGAGCCCUCCGUCUCUCCCGCCUCGCUGCCAGAGUCCCUGACCCCCUGGGCCUCUCCGCAUCACUCAUCCCGAGGCAGGGGCAGGCUGCCCGCCAGGACAGCAGAUCCCUCUUAAGCUCUGGCCUCAACAUUCCUCUCCACCCCAGGGGUCAAGGUCCGAUGUGGGGUAUUUUCCCAAGCCCUGGGGAACAGAGGCGCCUCCUGACAUGUACAGCUACUGCUCCGAGCUAGAGGGGAAGCUAGCAGGGAAGUUGGGCUGGAGAGGGGAGCAGUCAGCAGGCUCCUGGAGCAGAGCUGCAGGGAGAAAGAGCCCCAGGAAGUAGGGAAGUUGAAGUCAGUGAUGCGAAAGGGGCUGCACUGCAGGUAUCUGAGCCAAGGUGAGGAUUUUCCUGCCCUGAUCCAGCUGGUCGUCAUCUAACCCCCCCGGGGUCUGGCCUCUCUAGAGACCCUUGCUGGCUUCUGCAGGUCCUGGGGCAGAAGCCAAAGGCAGCCACCUCCCAGAGGACAGUAGCUGGACUGAGAGCCCCCCAGCAGGGCCCAGGGAGCACAGGGAUUGCAGAGCCCUCGGCAGCCCUGCAAGGGGUCAAAGUCGAGCAGAUCAAGUUGGUGAAAAGAUCCUGAAGAUGAAGGAGGAGGCAGGGGCAGUUGCCCCCCAGCUAGUUUAGAAGGAGUGGUGGAGGGAAGCCUCUUGGGGCCUGGAAGGUGAUUUCAUCAGCCAAGGUUGGCCUGAGGUGGAACUGUGCCACAUCAGCCCCCUGCUUCCCACUUCUCCCUCCUGCCCUGUGAGCAUCAGGUACCUGUCAUCCCGCCAUCCUUCUCCAGAGGAAAGCAGGUACAGGGGAACAAGGGAACAGGUGUCAGAGGCCUGGAUUCAAGUCCUCACUGCUCCCCACUUUAGCUGUAUGAUCUUCAGUAAAGAUCACAGCCUCUCUGAGACGCCACUGCCUGUUCUGUACAAAUGAGAUGAAUACUUCUAGACUAUGACAUGCCAGGGGACAUCCAAGUGGUGGUGUCCACUACACAGAGUUAAUUUUAAAAACUAAGAAGGAGUUCCCGUCGUGGCGCAAGGGAAAUGAAUCCAACUAGGAACCAGGAGGUGGCAAGUUUUAUCCCUGGCCUCCCUCAGUGCGUUAAGAAUCUGGCGUUGCCAUGAGCUGUGGUAAAGGUCGCAGAUGUGGCUCGGAUCUGGUGUUGCUGUGGCUGUGGCGUAGGCUGGCAGCUGUAGCUCUGAUUGGACCCCUAGCCUGGGAACCUCCAUGUGCCAAGGGUGUGGCCUUUAAAACAAAUUUAAAAAGAAGAAGACCUACCUCGUAGGACUGUAGAAAUGAUUGAGAAAACCAAGGUAAAGGCCUUAGUUAGCUAUCACUUAGUUAGCCAGGGUCUUAAACCUCAUUUCCAAGCUAGAGACUGGGCUGGAUAGUGGGCGGUGAGGGCCCGAGGUUGGGAAAGAUUUUUCUCUAUUAAAGAGAAAACGGAAAGAGAGAAGUCAGCUCUCACAACACCCCUCAGCCAAGAGCCCAGGCAGACAGCGUCUGCUCCAGAGGAAGGGCUGGUGUUCUCUGCUCCAUUGCCCUCUGGCAGGCACUUAGCUCCUGUUUUCCUCGUUAAGUGUGGCUGUAACCUGGCCCUCUUAACACUGCUGCUACAAGGUCCAGAAACAAUCCAAAGUCCCCAAACCAACAGCAUCAGCUGCUUUCAACAUCACCUCCCAGCUGGAUCAACAAGGUGGGACUGAACUCAGGGCUGACGGCAGGGAGUCAGGGCAGACAGCACUGGGAGUAGACGCUGGGUCUCAGGGACCUCGCUGUAUGCACAGCAAUGCUAAGCAUCUUGACACUGUAAAAGAGAGAAAAAAGAGGAGUUCCCACCAUAGCUCAGCGGUUAACAAACCCAACUAGGAUCCACGAAGAUGCGGGUGUGAUCCCUGGCCUCGCUCAGUGGGUUAAGGAUCUCAAGUUGCCGUGAACUGUGGUGUAGGUUGCAGAUGCAGCUCGGAUCCCGAGUUGCUGUGGCUGUGGUGUAGGCCAGCAGCAACAGCUCCGAUUCAACCCCUGGCCUGGGAGCCUCCAUAUGCUGUGGGUACGGCCUUAAAAAAAAAAAAAAAAAAAAAAA